AUGAGGUGGAUCCUGGCUGCGUCUCAAUUCGCAGGCUGCGUACUUCCGAGGACGCAGCCUACCUAGCCUCCGGAGGACCCAGACUUGGUAGGCUGCUCCGGAGGAUCCUCAGCCGUUGGUAAAUGGGACGGUCUAGCCUUUGGAGCACUUCCUGGUUGCGACACGACGUCAUCACGUUUACCCCAAACACAGCGCGAAACAAAAUCCGACAGCUCGAGAAAUACGGAAAGAAACAACAAAAAAAUAGAUAUGGAAAUUUUUAUUUUUUUUAUUUACUUGUUAUUGGAGGAGGAGAGUCGCUUUGACGGCUUCGGCGGAAGCAAAACCUGCGACAGAUUUUUCUCAGGCUGGCAGAGCGCAGUGGAGAGGUCAUAACAGCCCCAGAGGAUGAAGAGCAGGACGACAUGCCAGAGGAUGAAGAGGGGGAG
Molecule: long non-coding RNA, 428 nt
Organism: Cyprinodon tularosa
Lineage: Eukaryota; Metazoa; Chordata; Actinopteri; Cyprinodontiformes; Cyprinodontidae
Exons: 4
Source: RefSeq, a predicted model, not a curated record